GGGUUUUGGCUUCAGUAUCUGUGGGGGGCGGGAGUACAAGAUGGAUCUGUUUGUGCUGCGGCUCGCCGAGGAUGGGCCGGCCAUCCGCAAUGGCAGAAUGAGGGUGGGGGAUCAAAUCAUUGAGAUAAAUGGGGAUAGUACCCGAGACAUGACUCACGCCCGGGCCAUCGAGGUGAUCAAGACAGGGGGUGGUGGGUGAGACUGCUGCUGAAGAGAGGCACAGGACAGGUGCCUGAGUAUGGAAUGGUACCUUCCAACCUCUCCAUGUGCAUGAAAAGUGACACGCUAAAUUCCCCCUAUUUCUUCCUAAUGGGCCACUCUAAAGACACGGGUCGUGAAAAUCUGCAUGUCUUUCUCUCCAUUCUGAC
Long non-coding RNA from Oncorhynchus keta (chum salmon), 368 nucleotides. RefSeq lists it as uncharacterized. The transcript has 3 exons. Lineage: Eukaryota; Metazoa; Chordata; Actinopteri; Salmoniformes; Salmonidae. The record is from RefSeq and is a predicted model, not a curated record.